This 253-nucleotide ribosomal RNA is filed under the name uncultured bacterium. RNAcentral describes it as "partial 16S ribosomal RNA". It matches the Rfam family "Bacterial small subunit ribosomal RNA", at positions 524 to 776 of the family's 1533-position model. The record is from RNAcentral.
UACGUAGGUGGCGAGCGUUGUCCGGAUUUACUGGGCGUAAAGGGCGUGCAGGCGGUUUGUUAAGUGCAGGGUGAAAGCUCCCGGCUCAACUGGGAGAGGUCCUUGCAUACUGGCGAACUCGAGGGAGGCAGAGGAAAGUGGAAUUCCCGGUGUAGUGGUGAUAUGCGUAGAUAUCGGGAGGAACACCUGUGGCGAAGGCAAUCCCCUGGACCUGUACUGACGCUCAUGCACGAAAGCGUGGGGAGCAAACAGG